UAUCACUUACAGAUGGGCCCGCGGCGCAUUAGCUAGUUGGUGAGGUAACGGCUCACCAAGGCGACGAUGCGUAGCCGACCUGAGAGGGUGAUCGGCCACACUGGGACUGAGACACGGCCCAGACUCCUACGGGAGGCAGCAGUAGGGAAUCUUCCGCAAUGGACGAAAGUCUGACGGAGCAACGCCGCGUGAACGAUGAAGGUCUUCGGAUCGUAAAGUUCUGUUGUUAGGGAAGAACAAGUACCGUGCGAAUAGAGCGGUACCUUGACGGUACCUAACGAGGAAGCCCCGGCUAACUACGUGCCAGCAGCCGCGGUAAUACGUAGGGGGCAAGCGUUGUCCGGAAUUAUUGGGCGUAAAGCGCGCGCAGGCGGUUCCUUAAGUCUGAUGUGAAAGCCCACGGCUCAACCGUGGAGGGUCAUUGGAAACUGGGGAACUUGAGGACAGAAGAGGAGAGUGGAAUUCCACGUGUAGCGGUGAAAUGCGUAGAUAUGUGGAGGAACACCAGUGGCGAAGGCGACUCUCUGGUCUGUUUCUGACGCUGA
Molecule: ribosomal RNA, 545 nt
Filed under: Halobacillus sp. SS10-2
Lineage: Bacteria; Bacillati; Bacillota; Bacilli; Caryophanales; Bacillaceae
Also listed under: 1 other name
Description: bacterial SSU rRNA
Rfam family: Bacterial small subunit ribosomal RNA
Source: RNAcentral